UACUACAGCCAUGCUAUCCUGAACAAGCCUGAUCUCAUCUGAUCUUGGAAGCUAUGCAGGAUCAGGCCUGGUUAGUACUUGUAUGGGAGAACACAUAGGAAGACCAGGUGCUGUAGGCA
RNAcentral lists this ribosomal RNA (119 nucleotides) under Pteropus alecto (black flying fox). The record is from RNAcentral. Lineage: Eukaryota; Metazoa; Chordata; Mammalia; Chiroptera; Pteropodidae.